GACGAACGCUGGCGGCGUGCUUAACACAUGCAAGACGAACGGAAAGACCCUGCUUUUGUGGGGUGCUCGAGUGGCGAACGGGUGAGUAACACGUGAGUAACCUGCCCUUGACUUUGGGAUAACUUCAGGAAACUGGGGCUAAUACCGGAUAGGAGCUCCUGCUGCAUGGUGGGGGUUGGAAAGUUUCGGCGGUUGGGGAUGGACUCGCGGCUUAUCAGCUUGUUGGUGGGGUAGUGGCUUACCAAGGCUUUGACAGGUAGCCGGCCCGAGAGGGUGACCGGCCACAUUGGGACUGAGAUACGGCCCAGACUCCUACGGGAGGCAGCAGUGGGGAAUAUUGCACAAUGGGCGGAAGCCUGAUGCAGCAACGCCGCGUGCGGGAUGACGGCCUUCGGGUUGUAAACCGCUUUCGCCUGUGACGAAGCGUGAGUGACGGUAAUGGGUAAAGAAGCACCGGCUAACUACGUG
RNAcentral lists this ribosomal RNA (468 nucleotides) under uncultured bacterium. RNAcentral's name for it is "partial 16S ribosomal RNA". It matches the Rfam family "Bacterial small subunit ribosomal RNA", at positions 28 to 507 of the family's 1533-position model. The record is from RNAcentral.